This 50-nucleotide transfer RNA is filed under the name Rhodococcus triatomae. Its description in RNAcentral is "tRNA_Gly_CCC". It matches the Rfam family "tRNA". Rfam says of the family: Transfer RNA (tRNA) molecules are approximately 80 nucleotides in length. Lineage: Bacteria; Bacillati; Actinomycetota; Actinomycetes; Mycobacteriales; Nocardiaceae. The record is from RNAcentral.
GCCGAUGUAGUUCAAUGGUAGAACAUCAGCUUCCCAAGCUUGCAUCGGCG